Molecule: ribosomal RNA, 253 nt
Filed under: uncultured bacterium
Lineage: Bacteria
Description: partial 16S ribosomal RNA
Rfam family: Bacterial small subunit ribosomal RNA
Source: RNAcentral
UACGUAGGGUCCAAGCGUUGUUCGGAUUUACUGGGCGUAAAGGGCGCGUAGGCGGCUUGACAAGUCACUUGUGAAAUCUCCGGGCUUAACUCGGAACGGCCAAGUGAAACUGUCAUGCUAGAGUGCAGAAGGGGCAAUCGGAAUUCUUGGUGUAGCGGUGAAAUGCGUAGAUAUCAAGAGGAACACCUGAGGUGAAGACGGGUUGCUGGGCUGACACUGACGCUGAGGCGCGAAAGCCAGGGGAGCAAACGGG